Molecule: ribosomal RNA, 545 nt
Filed under: Hepatozoon canis
Lineage: Eukaryota; Apicomplexa; Hepatozoidae
Description: SSU rRNA
Rfam family: Eukaryotic small subunit ribosomal RNA
Source: RNAcentral
UUGUAAUUGGAAUGAUAGAAAUUUAAACCCUUUUUAAAGUAUCAAUUGGAGGGCAAGUCUGGUGCCAGCAGCCGCGGUAAUUCCAGCUCCAAUAGCGUAUAUUAAAAUUGUUGCAGUUAAAAAGCUCGUAGUUGAAGUUCUGCUAAAAGUAACCGGUCUGCUUUUAAUAAAGGUGGUAUCUUGGUGUGUAUUUAGCAAUGAUGUCCUUUGAAGUGUUUUUUACUUUAUUGUAAUAAAGCAUAUUCAGGACUUUUACUUUGAGAAAAUUAGAGUGUUUCUAGCAGGCUAACGCUUUGAAUACUGCAGCAUGGAAUAAUAAGAUAGGAUUUUAGUUCUACAUUAUUGGUUUUAAGAGCUAAAUUAAUGAUUGAUAGGGACAGUUGGGGGCAUUUGUAUUUAACUGUCAGAGGUGAAAUUCUUAGAUUUGUUAAAGACAAACUACUGCGAAAGCAUUUGCCAAAGAUGUUUUCAUUAAUCAAGAACGAAAGUUAGGGGAUCGAAGACGAUCAGAUACCGUCGUAGUCUUAACUAUAAACUAUGCCCGA